RNAcentral lists this ribosomal RNA (392 nucleotides) under uncultured organism. RNAcentral describes it as "bacterial SSU rRNA". It matches the Rfam family "Bacterial small subunit ribosomal RNA", at positions 526 to 896 of the family's 1533-position model. The record is from RNAcentral.
CAGAGGGCGCGAGCGUUGUCCGGAAUCACUGGGCGUAAAGGGCGCGUAGGUGGCCACUAUAAGGCCGCGGUGAAAGUUCGGGGCUCAACCCUGAAUCUGCCGCGGCGACUGUAGGGCUUGGGCACUGUAGAGGCAGAUGGAAUUCCGGGUGUAGCGGUGGAAUGCGUAGAGAUCCGGAAGAACACCGGUGGCGAAGGCGGUCUGCUGGGCAGUGGACCCGUGAGGGUCCAAUAGCCGACACUGAGGCGCGACAGCGUGGGGAGCAAACAGGAUUAGAUACCCUGGUAGUCCACGCCGUAAACGAUGGGCACUAGGUGCUCCGGGGAGCGACCCUUGGAGUACCGGCGCUAACGCAUGAAGUGCCCCGCCUGGGGAGUACGGCCGCAAGGCUG